UGCGGUAUAGUGUAACAGGAAACACAUAUGACUUUGAAUCAUAAGAAAACAGUUCAAAUCUGUUUACCGCUGUCAA
This 76-nucleotide transfer RNA is filed under the name Caudoviricetes sp. RNAcentral's name for it is "tRNA-Gln". It matches the Rfam family "tRNA". From Rfam's summary of the family: Transfer RNA (tRNA) molecules are approximately 80 nucleotides in length. Lineage: Duplodnaviria; Heunggongvirae; Uroviricota; Caudoviricetes. The record is from RNAcentral.